Molecule: long non-coding RNA, 1086 nt
Filed under: Gallus gallus (chicken)
Lineage: Eukaryota; Metazoa; Chordata; Aves; Galliformes; Phasianidae
Description: lncRNA (ENSGALG00010004796.1)
Source: RNAcentral
AGACACUGUUCUGGAUAAGCAGCUGUUGUGUUACUUUGCUUCAGUGAUUUUUAUCAUUUAAACUUAAGAUCUAGGCUGUAUCUGUCAACAGUCUGUGACUUCCCAAAGGCUUUGUGCAGUCCUGCUGCUGCUCAUAGACUUGGAACCAUUUCAGAGCAGGUGAGGUGCAAUUACUGUGGAUGGUUUCUACUCUGGUGUACUAGAGGUGGUUGCUGUUUACAGUUGCAGUUCGAAGGAAAUCUUGCUCCUGCAGAUUUCAGGACUGUCAGGAAGGAUGAGGAGGCAGUCAUUGACAAAAUCAGUUAUAUUCAGAAGGCAACCAUGCCAGAAGGUGUCAACCACACUGGAACGCAGUGGAAGAAAAGGAGCUAAUAAUUAUAAGCACUCUCAUUAUUUAGAAAGUACGCUACUCAAAAUGAAUUCAGCUUUCUGAUGACAAGUGAUUUCUCUCACCCCAAGGAGCAUUUCAAAGCAUCCACACAACCAUCUGCAUGAACCCCAGGAGGUGAAGGUAUGGGACCCUCCUUCCAGCUGUGGUGCAGUGAUCCAUCUGUCUGAGCACAUUUCCAUUUAUCCUCCAGGAAGAGAAUGCGCCACCCUCAGGCCUCCCUGAACUGUGAUUUCAGCUGCAAGAGACAGAACAAGGACUGAACAGGGAACUGGGUGAAAUAAAGUCAAUCUAAAUUUGUGGGUUAAUACCUGCAAGGCAUGCCAAUAUUGAUGUGCCAGACAGCCCUUUCCAUCAAAGUGCAGAAUGUGGAUCUGUGAAAGGAGUACAGAGAGCUGCAGAAAAAUCUGAGCUCAGAAACCUGGUGAUACUUCCAGUGGAAAGAUUUCCUUCCGUCCAGCUUCAGCACAGACAGCUUCAGGGACACAUGAAUAUCAGUGGCAGGUUCUGUGAGCACUUGAAAGCCUGAGCUGAUGUCUGAAGGCAGAACUGAAGUUAGGGUUCCCGAUACCUUUCUAGUAGGGAGUUCUGAAUCUGAAAGAUACAGUGGCUUCAGAUCCUACUGCAGAACUGGUCCUCUGUGCACCAUAGCAGAUUCAGUGCGAAGUGAAUUACAACAAUGUUUAUCUGAUUUUCAG